CCUACGGGCGGCUGCAGUGGGGAAUAUUGGACAAUGGGCGAAAGCCUGAUCCAGCCAUGCCGCGUGUGUGAAGAAGGCCUUCGGGUUGUAAAGCACUUUCAGUGGGGAAGAAAGCCUUGGGGCUAAUACCCUCGAGGAAGGACAUCACCCACAGAAGAAGCACCGGCUAACUCCGUGCCAGCAGCCGCGGUAAUACGGAGGGUGCGAGCGUUAAUCGGAAUUACUGGGCGUAAAGCGCGCGUAGGCGGUCUGAUAAGCCGGUUGUGAAAGCCCCGGGCUCAACCUGGGAACGGCAUCCGGAACUGUCAGGCUAGAGUGCAGGAGAGGAAGGUAGAAUUCCCGGUGUAGCGGUGAAAUGCGUAGAGAUCGGGAGGAAUACCAGUGGCGAAGGCGGCCUUCUGGACUGACACUGACGCUGAGGUGCGAAAGCGUGGGUAGCAAACAGGAUUAGAUACCCCGGUAGUUC
This 466-nucleotide ribosomal RNA is filed under the name Vreelandella stevensii. Its description in RNAcentral is "partial 16S ribosomal RNA". It matches the Rfam family "Bacterial small subunit ribosomal RNA", at positions 338 to 796 of the family's 1533-position model. The record is from RNAcentral. Lineage: Bacteria; Pseudomonadati; Pseudomonadota; Gammaproteobacteria; Oceanospirillales; Halomonadaceae.